GAGCGAUGAUGUGAAAGAUCCAAACCUGAAGCGUGUUUGUUUAACAACACAUUUAAUGAGGGUUUCUACACUUGAACUGAGCUCA
Molecule: small nucleolar RNA, 85 nt
Filed under: Cyprinodon variegatus (sheepshead minnow)
Lineage: Eukaryota; Metazoa; Chordata; Actinopteri; Cyprinodontiformes; Cyprinodontidae
Description: Small nucleolar RNA U2-30 (ENSCVAG00000020339.1)
Source: RNAcentral